Molecule: long non-coding RNA, 8116 nt
Organism: Peromyscus californicus insignis
Lineage: Eukaryota; Metazoa; Chordata; Mammalia; Rodentia; Cricetidae
Exons: 2
Source: RefSeq, a predicted model, not a curated record
AUUAUGAGAGAAAGAUCAAACACAGAGGCAAUUUCAAAAUAUAUAAAAAUUAUACUCCGUGGUGAUAUAUUGUGUGUCCUAAUAAAGCUUGCCUGAGGAUCAGAAGACAGAGCCAGCCACUAGAUUAGACACAGAGGCCAGACAGUGGUGGCACACACUCUUAAUCCUAUCACUCCACAGGCAGAGAUCCACUUGGAUCUCUGUGAGUUCAAGGCAACACUGGAAAUAGAGCCAGGCAGUGGUGGCAAACACCUUUAAUCCCAAUACUGGGAAGCACACAUGCCUUUAAUCCCAGGAAGUGACAACAGGGUGGAGAAAGGUAUAUAAAGCACAAGGAAACAGGAACUACAGCAGUUCACCUGAGACCCUUUUGGGUGAGGACUCAGAGGCUUUCAGUCUGAGGAUUUGUGGAAAGAGGAUUGGCUGAGAAGUUGGCAAAGUGAGGUUGGCUGUGCCUUGCUCUGCUUCUCUGAUCUUUCAACUUUCACCCCAAUAUCUGACUCCGGGUUUUUUAUUAAAAGACCUUCUAAGAUUCAUGUUAUAGUAGCCAAGCAAGCUGUGGAGUGUUGAGAAAGACAACAGGGGAUACCAGAGAGAAGACAAUGUAGAUGGAGUUUAAUACUUGGCAGAGAUAUUAAGUUAAUCUUAUCAAAAUACUAUAGGUAUUAUUUUGGGAAAUAGAGAAAGUAACCCUAAAAGGCACAGAACCUGAAGAAACUACAAAAUGUUCCAAAAACUCUGUGUGCAGGACAAACCAAGAGGUUUCUAUGGUUCUAACUAAAUACUGUAAAAAAUUAUAGUAAUGAAACUAUAUAAUAUUGGUUUAAACCCAUAAGCAGCAAUGUAAAUGAAGAACAGACAGCAUCACUCCCAUGCACAGUCAAAAAAAUUGUAUUUGCCUCUGAGUACUAAUAAUUAUUGAUAAUUCAAACACCUACAAUAAGAUAAUCCUGAGAUUUUAUUCAUCAGAAUUCACUGAAAUUGUUUAUAAUGAAAUAGAAUUUGGCAAAACCAACUUCAUUUACUGUUUCUACUGUCACUUCAGCCCUUCCCCAUCCCUUCACCCCUUCCUCAAACCCUCUAGCACACCUGAAUCCUUUGCUACUGUCUCCUCUCUCUUCUCCAUCCAGGGUUCUUUGUUCUGAUUCACAGGUGAGCAGGACUCACUGAGCAAUGUGAGCCCUGCACAGGAGAAAGAGAUUCUUCAGAAGUCACCUAAAACUUUUCACGGAACAAAAAUAAAAGAUGCUAACAACUGACAAAAGAAUAAACUUGAAGGAUAAAGAAAAUAUCAAGAAAAACUUCUCUCUCUCUCUGAGGAUGUCACUUUACUCAGCUGCCAUACAAAGCUGGCUUUACCUCGACACCCAAAUUUGGUGAGCCCCCAAAAAAUAUACACAAGGAAAAAGCAGAGACCAGUUGCCAGGAUUGACAUGGACACAGAAAUUGUCUAUAAAUUACAUAGAAAUGGAAUGUGAGCUCAUUUAAUGCCAAGAAUGAAAAACCAUUUCAACCCCUAUGAAUUAAUCAAUGUAAGACACCAAAAAUGUAGACUCAGCGAGAGAAGAAACAUGACUGUCAAUAGAUCCAUGAAAGACCCAGGUCAAAAUAUGACAUUAGCUCCAUAUAAAUGCUCUGAAGAAUGUGAGAACAGAAGCAACAUACCUCAGCAUAAUAAACAGAAUGAGAUACAAACUAAAUACUAUAACAUAAUACUAAAAAAUGACAGCUGGAAUAAUUUUGCUCUAAUCAGAACAGAGAAAGGUGUUCAGUCCCUCCAUCUUAUCUCAACCCAAAGAGUCAGUGAGUAGACAGUUCAAGAAUGACAGAGAAAAAUUUAUAGGAAACAAUAUAGGAGAACGAGAGAAUCAACUGGACCUCCUACAGAAAAAAUAUAAUUCUGCAACUUAAAGACUAUAAAUACCUACAGGAAAGCUCAGAUCUGAUAGCCCUCUCAAUAAGCUACAUAAUCUAUAUUGAUCAUCACUUAGUUGGUUUUUUUGCUCUUGUUUAUUCAUACAAACAAGAAUAUGCUGGAAGUCAACAGACCAUUCACAGUGCCUAGGAAUAUCUUGGAGUCCCUGUUGGUAGCAUUCAGAGAGUCAAAAAACAUGCAAGCUUGGAUUGGGGAGGAAGUUUUCCAUGGCCUACCAGCUUUGCAUCCUGUGUGCUACAAUCCUAACCUCCCAAGGAAGGCAUAUGCAUGGGUGUCAUAGAGACAAGACUAUUUUGUGGGUAACAGAGGCUUUCUGAUUCAAUCUGAGGCUGGCCCACUGAAGUAAAUACAUAGGUGGUAAUAGGAACAUCACCAAAGCCAAUAAUGAGGAAGGAAACAAGCCCUAGAUGGGAAUCAACUAUUGACAUUUUGCUACAUAUACAAAUACUCAAACUGCCUUUAAGUGAUUUUGUUCACUCUAAUAGCCUGGUGAUGCUUUCAGUCUUUAAUUCAAACUAUGAUUUCAAUGGGCAACAGUCAUGUCAGAGGACUACAGAGAGAAAGCCUCUCAAAAGGACAAAAAACAAAGACACCAAAAAACAAACAAAUGUAAAAAUCAAAAUAGUUCCUUAAUCCUAGUAAAUAGCAAUGUUUAAGAAGUGUGUUCUCUCCAGGCAAUGGUGGUGCAGGCCUUUAAUCUCAGCACUCAGCAGGCAGAAGCAGGUGGAUCUCUGUGAGUUUAAGGUCAUUCUGGUCUAUAGAGAGAAAUUCGUCUCAAAAAUAACAGCAACAACAACAAAUCCCCAAGGGCAUACGUGAAUUCACUUUUGAGUACUGAAGAAAAAUGGGGAAGUGUUGACUCCAAGACUACACAGAGAAUCCCUGUCUUGAAAAACAGAAAAAUCAAAUGUCUUUUUCAAGAACUUGGAAUGCUAAAAGCAACAAUAUUCAGAAAAUUGAAGAAUACAUAAAAGACAUGUGAACACUGAAUUACUAACGGCAAGUUCUCAUUCAAACAUAUGAAGAAUAUGAAAGCAUGUUUGUAAGAAUCUAAACUAAAAAAUGCUACAGGUAUUUUUUAACAUAAAAAGUGAAAUCUUCCUAAAAUAUGUAAUAUUGUGCAAAACCAUGAAGAGGUCAAAAAUUUUGAGAAAAGGUUCAAACCAAGAGUUAAUUUUUAAAAUGUUUUAAAAUUAUAGCAACACAAAACAUUAAGAGCUGACAUGAAGACAGAAGAAAUAGGAUAUCAACAGGAACACAAUAUAGAUGGAGUUUAAUACUCUGUAAAGACAUUAAGCAAACCUUUUUUUUCUUUAUUUGUUUUCUGAGACAGGGUUUCUCUACAUAGACUUGGUGCCUGUCCUGGAUCUCGUUCUGCAGACCAGGCUGGCCUCAAACUCACAGAGAUCCACCUGGCUCUGCCUCCCAAGUGCUGGGAUAUAUUAAGCAAAUCUUAUCAAAAUCCUGUUGGCAUUAUUUUAGGAAAUGGAGAAAUUAACCUUAAAUAUAGAGAACAUAAAAGAACUACAAAAUGCUCCAAAACUCUAAGAGCAGGAAAAGCCAAGAGGCAUCAAUUAUUCUAUCUAAACAUUAUAUUAAAAUUAUGAUGAAAACAUUUAAUAUUCAUAUGAAGACAUGAUCAGCAAUGUGAAUAGGAGAGGGACAGCAUCACUCACAUGCAAAGUCUAGUAAAAUUAUAUUUGCUUCUGAGUAUAUUAAUACUUACAUAGAAUACCUACAAUAGGAAUUAAUACCUACAAUAGAAAUAAUCUGAUAUUAUACUCAGUGGAAUUUUUUAGAAACAUUUUAAAUGAAAUAUAGUCUUGCAUUUUCAUGUCCUGUUUCUCCUAUCCCUUGAGCUCCUCCCUAUGACUUCCUUGAUCCUUUGACCAUACCUGGAUUCUUAGCUACUGUUGCUGCUACCUUUUCCAUCCAGGGCUCUUUGUUAUGCUUCAAUGGUGAGCAGAUCUGGUUGAGCAAUGUGAAACCAUAGGAUAAAGAGAUUCUUCAGAAAUCAUCUGGAACUUUUCUUGUAUCAAAAUUAGAAGAUGCAGAACAGCUACCAAGUGAAUAAACAGAAAGGAGAGAGAAAAUAUCACAAAAUGUCUUUUUUCCUCUCAAUAUUUAACUUUCCUUUAUGAGAUGUAAGACUCAUUCAAACAUAGCUUAUAGGCAUGGAGAGAUGUUUUCCCAUGAAUCCUGAGAAGCAGCAAUGGAGACUGCUGGUCACCCACAGAAACCAGACUGUUAUACAAAUCCACGAGAGUCUGUUAAAGGGUAUCAGUAGAUUUAUUAAGAUAUAAAAUGGGGAGAAAUACACUCAUGGAUACAGAACAAAGUAUAAACAGCUGUUGUCAUCCUCAGUUCUGCCCAGGGGAGUAUGUAACCAGUUGUCUGGUCUCCAGCCACCUCAAGAGAGCAUGAGUGCAUGGUCCCUCUUCAGUUUUAAGCAGUCACAUAUCCAGAGAAAACCACACCUCUAUUGGGCCAGAUAUCCCAAGGCCUCUAGUGAGUGAAUUCCCACAUUUCCCCUUUUUGUCUAAAUAAGAAGGUUCUAAACCUAAUACAAAGUUAUAUACAAAAAGAACAAUUAUCAAGUAUUGUCUAGAAGAGAGAAAAGGUAAUAAGAUAAACAAAAAUGGAACUAUACAACCAACAAAAACAACAUCAAGCAAGAAGCAUAUACUAAAUGUUCAGGCCAAAGAUAAUUGGCAAUUUACAGAGAUUACUCCAAUAUCUGUCCUAUUAUGAAGAAUCUAAAUCAUGUACCUGAAAUGUUCUUAGUUAAAAUAUGAGAGGAUUGUAACUAUAAUUACCUAGUCUUCAACCCCAUCAAAGACCUAAGAAGGAAAAUAAUAUUACCUGAGUAAGUUGGAAGUAUAAACAAACAACUUCAAAAACAUGCAAGAUAUGACCGAAACAGCUGGCUGCCUGGACAUUCACCCAAUGUUUCUCUGCAACACUGGGGCAACCACUAUUGGAUACAGGCCUAGAAUAUAUGAGACCAUAUUCAGAAGCAGGAAAUUUUGAAAGACUGUCCUACCCUGUCUUGGCAAGACUUGGCAGUUGCUUUUUCCUUUGUCCUGCUCAUCUGGACUGGAAAGCAUGCUUACUGUCAGCAGGGCAGUUCUUUGCCCAACAGGGCUACUUUUGCCAAGAAGAAGACAAACUCCAUAUGCCCAUCAUCCUCUUGGAAGUAGAUCAGUGCUACCAGGAGCAAUUGUGUCUCAGGUCAACAGAAUUCUAAGUUAUUAAAACAUUUAAAUGCCAUAUUCUCUAGGUCUAUGAAGUGUUUGAAGAUUACCUAUCCAUCUGACGUAUAUUUCUGUAUAUCUAGAAAACAUAACUAACAUGGCUAUAAGUAUGACAAGUAUGGGUGAAUAUUAACCUUUAAUUCUUACCAACCUAAAUAUCUUAAAGACUAAGGCUUGACAUUAUAAAAAUAAUUUGUAGACAGAUGUACAGUAUAAGGACAAUGAUCUCAAAUUUGUGACAAUAUACAAAAAUCUUAAUCAUAGGUAGAAAUGUAUAGUGCAAUAUGACAAUACUUUAAUUUGUAUCAAUAUACAAAAUAUCCUAAAUAGAACUAGAACAUACAAACAGUUUGACAAAAAUAAUUUUACAUUUAUAUCAAUUAUACAAAAAAAUUUUUUGAACAGGAGUAGGAACAUAUGUACAAUAUGACAAAUACAGUUUUGUAUUUGUAUCAAUAUAUAAAUUAUCUUAAACAGGAAUAGAAAAAUAAUUUUACAUUUGUAUCAAUAUACAAGAAUCCAUACCAAGGCAAAUUACCUAAAGCUGAUAGUUGCUAAAUUAGUUUACAAGUAGAUACAAUAAUCUACCUUAUUAUUCUAUUCUAUCUAUUCCCCUUUUCUUUUCCAAAAGAGAUUCCUGAGCCUAAACUCUAUUGUUUCACUCCCAACACUAUUACAACUUAUAACCAACCACUAACACAUGACAAUUAUCCAUAACUCUGAGAAAACAAAAACCUGUUGGGAGAGGGGACGUCUUCUUCUUAGAAAUGCUUCCUGCUAUCUAGGGGGCAAUGGUAUCUCUAUGGGAUCCUGUAAAAAACUAAAACAAUGAUUAAGUCUCAUUAGGACUAGCUAUAUCAUUUGUAGUCAGUCUCAGAGUGAUUGGUAAAGCUUAUCUGAAGUUCUGGCUAGAGGUAAAAAAUAAAAUGGUGGACCAUCUCAGGUGGAACUGUCCUGAACAGUUUGUAGUCCAAUGCUGAUCUUUGAGUAAUGUUUAUUGGAUCAAUGGCAUCAUUACGGACCAGGUAGAAUUGUUAUGCAGCCCCAUCUUCUUUCUAGAUACUUCAGAUAUCACUGUUAUAAAAAUUUAUUGUUCACUAUGGAAAACUUAAACAAUAUUAAUAUCAAAAUGGAAAAUUUAAAUUUUAGGAAAGCACUAUAUAUCUAAAGAAAAUUUCCAAAGAGUCAAGAAUAAGUAUGGGGAGGAAUAGAAUUUUGACAACAAUAGUCCCUAGAUCUUUGGUUUUCUUCUGUCCCACACCAUGUAACUCUUCUAAUAUGAGACAGAAACUCUUAAUUGUUUCUUUUAAAUACAUGCUUGGAUUUAGAGGAGAAGAGAGCCAUGCUCCAAUUCCAAAGCCAGCUUUGAUUUACACUUGAGUUAGGACUACAACUUUUCUUAGAAGUAAAGGAUAUGGAUGUUUAGGUAAUGAGAUUUUACCCUGUAGAGAAUAUUGGUACCAUUAGGUCUGGUUUUUCCUUACUUGGUAAUUUUUUCUGGAUGUCUUUUCUUCUUCUUUAGAUGUCUAGAUAUCCAAGGUUUUUCGAUUUAUUGAAGAUGAGUAUUUCAAUUUUUCUGUAAAGACAAAAACAGAAUCCUGCCCCGACCCUUGUUUGAAAGCCAGAGGCUAUGGAUUUGUUCCAGAUUAAGACACAUCAGGUUUGACCAGCCAAGACCACCUGAAAGGUCUCCGAUGACACCAUGGCCCAGAUGAUCCAACAUCCAGAACCGUUUCAAGGCAACUGGCUCAGAUGAUACAGCCUCACGGACUACUCCAUGAUCCUAAAAUUUUCUUUGUUUCCCCAGAAGAUACAGCGCCCCCCCUCCAGCAGGAAUUAGUAAGAGAAGCUAUGCCCAAAUUCCCAAAUAUACCAAGCUGACUUUGGAGAUGUGUAAAGGUUAAAACCUUCCUUUUUAAGAAAAGAAAAGGGGAAGUGCUGUGGGAUGGUCUGUAUGUCAAAUGUGUUGCUGAUUGGUCAAUGAAUAAAUCACUGAUUGGUCAGUGGCCAGGCAGGAACUAUAGGCGGGACUAACAGAGAGGAAAAUUGAGAGAACAGGAAGCUGGGUGAGAGAGACACUGCCAGCCGCCAUCAGGAUAAGGAAGAUGUAAAGUACCGGUAAGCCACAAGCCACGUGGCAAGGUAUAGAUUAAUAGAAAUGGAUUAAUUUAAGCUGUAAGAACAGUUAGCAAGAAGCCUGCCAUGGCCAUACAGUUUGUAACCAAUAUAAGUCUCUGUGUUUACUUGGUUGGGUCUGAUGGCUGUGAGACUGGCAGGUGAGAGAGAUUUGUCCUGACUGUGGGCCAGGCAGGAAAACUCUAGCAACAUGUGUUGAUCAAUGUGUCAGAUCUUUCUCAUACUAUUGACAUAGAGUCAAUGGAUUCAACCAGGGCCUCUAUUAAGACUGCUAUUUUUUCUUUAAAAACUUAGAAAUGGGGAGAUGUAGAGAACAUAAGAGCCUUGUGCACAUGGAUAAGUACUAGAGAAUCCAGCAAAGUUAAACACACGGCUUACCUCUUCAAUGGAAUGAGGUGCAAAGCUGUUCUUCCUGGAAUGCUAGGAAUUAUGUUGUUUUAGAACCUGGUAACCUUUUGGUAUCUGAUGAGACAGGCUCUGCCUUAUCCCCAAGAAUUUGUUUUUAUUUAUUUGUAGUAGGCAAGGCCCAUAGGGCCAAUUUCCUUGGCCCAAACCGGUUGUCAGGGCAUGCACAGAAUGUACUUCCUUAUGAGCCAACCUGAAGUCUACCUGAGGGCCUAGCAACAGGUGCUGUCAGCAUUCCUGAUCACUGUCAGAGUUCCUGAUUGUGCCCAGCCAAUGAGGGAAGACCAUGCAAUGCCACCAGAUUGAGACACAGCCUGGGUGCUGGGAGGAGGGUAUACAAGGCCUUCCCUGUUAUUGAAUAAACGAUUCUGCUGUUUGCCUUCAA